CCUUCUUGUCUCUUUCUUGGAUAUCGGAGACUUUCGUCUUCCUUUUUUCUUCUCUACCUCUUCAUGUCGAAACCCUUUCGCGAUCCUUACUCGGAGUUGAAAUCUUUAUCGGAUGUUGGAUGGAGCUGGGAUGUGGAAGUCUUCUUCAUGUUGUUGUGUACAUAGAGACGGAAUGAUAGACACUCCAUUUUUAGUCAGCUUUCGCAUAGUGGCUAUUUAGCGAGAAAAAUAUCUUUGAUGAAAUGCUUGGAUAGAAUUGAAGUAUGAUGUGAGGCAGUUCAUCCAGAUUGAGAAAGAAUAAACCAAACAGGACCGGCUGUUUGAUUCAGCUUUGCCUGGUUCUAAUCAAAGAUCAGAAAGGGUACGAUACAGUUUUUGAGUCAACCAUAAACUGAACCUCACCAGACCGGAGUUUUUGUGGCAUCAAUCCUCCAUGUAGAAAAGCUAGCUAUGUUAUGACUUGAUAUAAUAGUAUGAUUAGUUUAUAAUACAGUGGAUGAGACUUGAACCACAGCCAUUUUGUCCUUCCAACAAGCAGAGGGCUUAACAUUCUGGUUUGUCUACUGUG
Musa acuminata AAA Group (dessert banana) is the source of this 568-nucleotide long non-coding RNA. RefSeq lists it as uncharacterized. NCBI's taxonomy places the organism in Eukaryota, Viridiplantae, Streptophyta, Magnoliopsida, Zingiberales, Musaceae. The record is from RefSeq and is a predicted model, not a curated record. The transcript has 4 exons.